Molecule: ribosomal RNA, 208 nt
Filed under: uncultured bacterium
Lineage: Bacteria
Description: partial 16S ribosomal RNA
Rfam family: Bacterial small subunit ribosomal RNA
Source: RNAcentral
UGCGUAGUCGGUAUUGAGAGUCGCGGGUGAAAUCCCAGGGCUUAACCCUGGAACUGCCUGCGAGACCUCAGUACUAGAGUGUGAGAGGGGAUAGUGGAAUACCCAGUGUAGCGGUGAAAUGCGUAGAGAUUGGGUAGAACACCGGUGGCGAAGGCGGCUAUCUGGCUCACAACUGACGAUCAGGCACGAAAGCGUGGGGGAGCAAACA